UACGUAGGGUGCGAGCGUUAAUCGGAAUUACUGGGCGUAAAGCGUGCGCAGGCGGUUCGUUAAGUCAGAUGUGAAAGCCCCGGGCUCAACCUGGGAACUGCAUUUGAAACUGGCGGGCUUGAGUGUGGCAGAGGGGGGUGGAAUUCCGCGUGUAGCAGUGAAAUGCGUAGAGAUGCGGAGGAACACCGAUGGCGAAGGCGGGUCUCUGGGCAGUAACUGACGCUGAGGAGCGAAAGCGUGGGGAGCGAACAGG
RNAcentral lists this ribosomal RNA (253 nucleotides) under uncultured bacterium. RNAcentral's name for it is "partial 16S ribosomal RNA". It matches the Rfam family "Bacterial small subunit ribosomal RNA", at positions 524 to 776 of the family's 1533-position model. The record is from RNAcentral.